ACCUAUUCUGAAUUUGGAGAGGCCUGGUUCAUCAAACAUGAAUGAUAUUAAGUCCUGACCAAGCGACACCUAUUCUGAAUUUGGAGAGGCCUGUUUCAUCAAACAUGAAUAAUAUUCAAUUUGUUCCAUCUCGUUAGGAAAUGUCGGAACCUUCGGGUCAGGUUGGGACUGAGGCACCAAUUGGCAGUGAUGCUUGGAGUGAAUCAAUUGCAGUUGGUGGAGGAGUUGGCAUAUUUCGGAUGAUGAAGGCGUGGACUCUAUAAUACUUGAUUGUGGAGGGGGAGUAAAACCAUGGCCAAAGUGGUUAGACAUAUCUGCACCUUUUUUUUACUCUAUUACUGAACUCAACUACCUGUUUCCGGUUCCCCACCUAAACAACAAUGCAGCAACCACUAAAAAUUUACCGUGACGAGUGUUUUUGGUUCCCUUAGUCGGUUGUAAUACUAUUCUUUUUCAUAAAAAAUGUGUUUGCCAUGAUGGUUCGAAUGAACUUGUAACUACAAACUGAAAUCUACAAACUGGAACUCUUCCAUGAACAAGUUUGUGAUGAACUAUAACAACUUGCUACUUGAUUGGUAUAAAGUAGAGCAAGAAGCUGAACACAAGACGAAGCAGGUAAUGCAACUUGUUUCCAUCGUGACUAUUUGUUGAUCCAUUUGCACCCUAAUUUUUUUAUUAUCCAAUAUUGAGUAGCUUUACUUUGAAAACUUUGCAAUAUAGGAUGUGUUCGUUCGUGAGCAUGCAUGGCCAAUGGAAAUACAUGCGUUGCAAGUGUAUACCAAUGCUGCAUACAUUUUGUUCAGAAAACAUGUAGACAAAUCCACCCGUUUCCAUGUUAGGGUUACUGGUGAUCCCUUGGUGUUCCUUGUUGUCCAUGACAAAGCUAAGCAGUGGGCACCUGAUGUGAAAGUUAGGCGCGGCCGACCAAGGAUCAACCGUUACAGGCCGCGUACUGAUAUGAUCAAAGAGAAGAUGAAAUCUGGAAAGAAGGCUGCAAAGAAGAAAGGGAAAAUGAAGAACUGCACAACUUGUGGUCUGGAUGACCACAAAACAUCAGAGUGCUUCACUAAAAGUGCUGAUAAUACAUGCACUGGCUUGUAGGCUAAGCUUGCUGGGUUCGUUAAAGUAUGCAUUCAGAUGUUGGUCUGUAAUUUCUUGCUACAAUUAAUGGCUUCUUGGGUGACUUGUCUACAUCCCGAUGUUGGUCUGUAAUAUUUUGCUAAGAUUUAAGAUCCUGCAUUCACCCUGCCCUUGAGGUGGUAUAAACCUGAACAUGUAUGCUAGAUGAUGUUUGUAUCUACAA
Molecule: long non-coding RNA, 1303 nt
Organism: Panicum virgatum (switchgrass)
Lineage: Eukaryota; Viridiplantae; Streptophyta; Magnoliopsida; Poales; Poaceae
Exons: 2
Source: RefSeq, a predicted model, not a curated record